This 468-nucleotide ribosomal RNA is filed under the name uncultured bacterium. Its description in RNAcentral is "partial 16S ribosomal RNA". It matches the Rfam family "Bacterial small subunit ribosomal RNA", at positions 28 to 507 of the family's 1533-position model. The record is from RNAcentral.
GACGAACGCUGGCGGCGUGCUUAACACAUGCAAGUCGAACGGAAAGGCCCUGCUUUUGUGGUGUUCUCGAUUGGCGAACGGGUGAGUAACACGUGUGUAACCUGCCCUUUACUUUGUGAUAUCUUCAGGAAACUGGGGCUAAUACCGGAUAUGAUCUCCUGCUGCAUGGUGGUGGUUGGUAAGUUUCGGCGGUUGGGGAUGGACUCGCUGCUUAUCAGCUUGUUGGUGGGGUAGUGGCUUACCAAGGCUUUGACGGGUAGCCGGCCUGGGAGGGUGAGCGGGGAAAAGGGGACUGAGAUACGGCACAGAGGGGAACGGGAGGCAGAAGUGGGGAAUAUUGCAGAAGGGGCGGAAGGGUGAGGCAGCAAGGCGGGGUGGGGGAAGAAGGGAUAGGGGUAGAAAAAAGAUUUAGAAUGAGACGAAGAGGGAGUGACGGUAAUGGGUAAAGAAGCACCGGCUAACUACGUG